GGCCUUUUGGGAUAAUUUAAGGUCUAGCCUGCCCCCUGAGGAUUUAAAUGGCCGCGGUACUUUGACCGUGCUAAGGUAGCAUAAUCAUUAGUUUCUUAAUUAGAAGCUGGAAUGAAAGGUUGGAUAAAAAAAUAACUGUCUCUAAGUAAUUUUUAUUGAAUUUUAUUUUUAAGUAAAAAAGCUUAAAUUGAAUUAAAAGACGAGAAGACCCUAUAGAGUUUUAUUAAUAAGAAAAAUUAGAGUUUUAGAAAUAUUAGUUGGAUUUUUUGAGUUAAUUUAGUUGGGGUGAUUGGGAAAUUAAAAAAACUUUCUUUAAUUUAUAUCAAUAAUAAUUGUAUGUUUGAUCCAUUAAUUAUGAUUAAAAGAUUAAAUUACCUUAGGGAUAACAGCGUAAUUUUAUUUUAGAGUUCAAAUUAAAAAUAAAGUUUGCGACCUCGAUGUUGGAUUAAAAUUAACUUUUGGUGUAGAAGCUAAAAGGUUAGGUCUGUUCGACCUUUAAAAUUUUACAUGA
RNAcentral lists this ribosomal RNA (511 nucleotides) under Ancylonotus tribulus. RNAcentral's name for it is "partial large subunit ribosomal RNA". It matches the Rfam family "Bacterial large subunit ribosomal RNA", at positions 1819 to 2603 of the family's 2925-position model. Lineage: Eukaryota; Metazoa; Arthropoda; Insecta; Coleoptera; Cerambycidae. The record is from RNAcentral.